UACGUAGGGUGCAAGCGUUGUCCGGAAUUAUUGGGCGUAAAGAGCUCGUAGGCGGUCUGUCGCGUCGGACGUGAAAACCCAGGGCUCAACCCUGGGCCGGCGUUCGAUACGGGCAGACUAGAGUUCGGUAGGGGAGACUGGAAUUCCUGGUGUAGCGGUGAAAUGCGCAGAUAUCAGGAGGAACACCGGUGGCGAAGGCGGGUCUCUGGGCCGAAACUGACGCUGAGGAGCGAAAGCGUGGGGAGCGAACAGG
RNAcentral lists this ribosomal RNA (253 nucleotides) under uncultured bacterium. RNAcentral's name for it is "partial 16S ribosomal RNA". It matches the Rfam family "Bacterial small subunit ribosomal RNA", at positions 524 to 776 of the family's 1533-position model. The record is from RNAcentral.